Molecule: ribosomal RNA, 253 nt
Filed under: uncultured bacterium
Lineage: Bacteria
Description: partial 16S ribosomal RNA
Rfam family: Bacterial small subunit ribosomal RNA
Source: RNAcentral
UACGUAGGGUGCAAGCGUUGUCCGGAAUUAUUGGGCGUAAAGAGCUCGUAGGCGGCUUGUCGCGUCGGCUGUGAAAACCUGGGGCUCAACCCCGGGCCUGCAGCCGAUACGGGCAAGCUAGAAUUCGGUAGGGGAGACUGGAAUUCCUGGUGUAGCGGUGGAAUGCGCAGAUAUCAGGAGGAACACCAAUAGCGAAGGCAGCUCGCUGGGACGUUACUGACACUGAGGCGCGAAAGCGUGGGGAGCGAACAGG